UUUUGGUAUAAAAAUAAAAAUAAAUGAAAAUAGUAUGAGAAGCUCUUUUUAUUGGAUUUAGAGAAGUAAAAUAUAAGUCAUAAAUGACUUGAGCUGAAAUCGGAAUGAAAACAUAAGAUUUAGAAAUUUUCUAUUGGAAACAGGACCGAUAAAUUAGCAGAAAAUGUAUAGUCUCAGAAAAUUAUGAAAAUUGGAGGAUGAGUCAGAAAUAUUUUUAUGAAGCUAGAUUUAAGGUUUCAUAUUUUUCUGACACCUGUAGAGUGAGAAAUAAAAUCCGACAGUUAUCAGAUAAAGAUUACAGUUUGGUACAAUUUUCGGUGACCAAACGGGGUCGAAACUGAAAUGUUAAAAUUUCUUUGGACUUAUUAAGUAAAACCGAGCUUGCCUGUCAAAUUUGAGCUCAAACGGACAUUCAGAAGGGCUCCGGCGAAAAAUGUUAGUUUCUAAACUGCCCGAAGUAAAUAGUGCAUAGUUGAGGGACUAAGUUGUAAAAAGGGGUUUAAUCCUUUUUCUUCUUCUCCUUCCUCAGCCGCAGCAGCCCCAAACCGCACACACACAUACGCAUACACACACGCAUGGAAGGGAGAGAGAAAACUUCCAUUUCUCUCUCUAAAUCUCUCCCAAAAUUAAAGAAAUUGGUGGAGAUUGAAGCUUGGAAGUGAAUCAUCUUUAUUUUCUCCAUCUUCUCCAUGGUUUGAAGCAAGUUUUGAGGUAAGCUUUUUGAGCCCUCUCAUGGUAGAUCUCUAGAUAUGUGGUUUUGAUCUCUAGAAAUGGAUUUAGAGGAAUCCUAGCAUGCUAUCUAGAUGAUUGAUGCUUAAUUUGUGAAGGGAUUUGGUGAUAUCUUGCAUAGUCGUAACCUAGGGUUCAGAAUGCAAUUUUUGGAAAUAGUUGGGUUUGAUCUCAAUUAACCCUCCGUAAACCUAAUUGCUAGGUAACGAAACGCGUUUGCGAAGACGGUUCGGCAAUCCGACGAGCCGUUACAAAGUUAUUAAAGAAACGGACGUUUAGGCUUCGUUUCCGCCUGGAGGGCCGAGUCGACGUCGUAAAAUCGUGAAAACAGGUUUGAAGCACCGUGGCACAUAACCGAAAACCUUUAAUUUUCGGAUCACAAAUCGGAGAUCGUUUGGGUGGUCGUGCGAGAGUUCGAGCCAAACUGGGUCGCGGGUGUCGCGGGCGGCCAAUUGCAAGUGACUACAAGCAAUCGGAGAGUAAGUUAAGGUGGGUUGUGUUUACCGAAGCGACUAGGUCGCCUUUUAUGUCUAAGAAAUAUACGAAUUCAUAUUGAUGCACGUUAAUAAAAUGACAUAGCUAAUGCAUAUGGACAAUGUGAUGCAAACUGCUAAGUAGAUGCAUAUGAAAUGAUGUAAUAUAGAAAUGCUUAUUGACAUAACGACAUAGUCUAGAAAUGCUAAAUGUAAUGUGCAUGUUAAUAUGAUAAGAAACCAUGCUAGUGAUAUUUGCAUGAUAAUGCAUUGAUAGUACAUGCUAGUAAGUAAAUGCAUAUUAAUACAUAUGUGUAUAAUGAGCAUGUUGGAUAAGAUUCGUGUACAUGUAGACUCGAGAUAACAAUAGGAUGUCAAGUAGAUCGAGUGGCACUUAACCUAGUGUUAAAGAACAUAGGUUGUGAAUGAAUCUAGAGUCAUGUGAACUAGAUCGAGUGGCAUCUAACCUAGUGUUAAAGAACAUAGGUUGAGAAUGAACCUAGAGUUAAUCGAAUCUAGGUGUGUGGUAUUAACCUAGUGUCGAGAACAUAGGUUAAGAAUUGAGCCUAGAGUUAAAGUAAACCUAGGAUACGUGAUAAAGGCAUUGAACCUAGAGUCAGUUGGACCUAGGGUGAAAAGGACACUGGACCUAGAUAUGUCGAUACUAUAGGGUUUGAGACCAACCCUUGAGUCGUGAAAUGGAUUCUGGAAUCCCUAGUGAAGUGGCCGCAAAGGAAGCGGUGGUACUUGUGGUAAAAGAGAUGGCAAGCGAAUCAUAACUGCAGGUAUGUGUGGUUCUCAUCGCUUGGCAGUGAUUCAACGGGUAUGUGUGGUUCUCCUCACCCGGGAUGCCAUGAGAAUAAGCUGGAAUUGGGUAUAUGUGGUUCUCCUCGCCCAUUAGCUUAUCAGAUGAUGCCGCCUAGAUUGACUUGAACCAUUGCUGGGUGAGAGCGAGUAGCCGCUGCCAAAUGAGUAAGCCAUGACUUGAGCCAUUGUUGGGUGUGAUGCGAUGAGUUCGCCGCCAGGUGGCUAAGUCAUGACUUGAGUCAUUGUUGGGUCGAUGCGAUGAAUUCGCUACCAGAUGGUUAAGUCAGAGGUGCGGUAGGCUGUGACGGCAGCCAGGCUGAGAUGCAGCCAGUGUGCGGACUAUCCGCGGAUGAUUGACUCGAGGCCGAGUUGGGUGGUUAGCUUGAUUAGGUUAAUAGAAACCUUAUAAGCUAGUGAUAAAGGUAAAA
Molecule: long non-coding RNA, 2437 nt
Filed under: Ananas comosus (pineapple)
Lineage: Eukaryota; Viridiplantae; Streptophyta; Magnoliopsida; Poales; Bromeliaceae
Description: long non-coding RNA (ACOM_LNC038895)
Source: RNAcentral